This 292-nucleotide ribosomal RNA is filed under the name uncultured Planctomycetota bacterium. RNAcentral's name for it is "uncultured planctomycete partial 16S ribosomal RNA". The record is from RNAcentral. Lineage: Bacteria; Pseudomonadati; Planctomycetota.
GGACUACCGGGGUAUCUAAUCCCGUUUGCUCCCCUAGCUUUCGCGCCUCAGCGUCAGUAGAGAUCCAGCAGGUCGCUUUCGCCACCGGCGUUCCUUCCGAUAUCUACGCAUUUCACCGCUCCACCGGAAGUUCCACCUGCCCCUACCUCCCUCUAGCCCACCAGUAUCAGGGGCACUUUUCCGGUUGAGCCGAAAGAUUUCACCCCUGACUUGAUGAGCCGCCUACGCGCCCUUUAAGCCCAGUGAAUCCGAACAACGUUUGCACGGUUCGUCUUACCGCGGCUGCUGGCAC